GAGGUACUCCCUCCGUUCCGAAUUACUCGUCGCAUGUAUGGAUGUAUCUAGAACUAAAAUACAUCUAGAUACAUCCAUACGUGCGACAAGUAAUUCGGAACGGAGGGAGUAGAAG
Triticum aestivum (bread wheat) is the source of this 115-nucleotide non-coding RNA. NCBI's taxonomy places the organism in Eukaryota, Viridiplantae, Streptophyta, Magnoliopsida, Poales, Poaceae. The record is from Rfam.